RNAcentral lists this ribosomal RNA (1081 nucleotides) under Heterosphaeria linariae. Its description in RNAcentral is "SSU rRNA". It matches the Rfam family "Eukaryotic small subunit ribosomal RNA", at positions 27 to 1122 of the family's 1831-position model. Lineage: Eukaryota; Fungi; Ascomycota; Leotiomycetes; Helotiales; Heterosphaeriaceae. The record is from RNAcentral.
AAGGCUGCUCAAAGAUAAGCCAUGCAUGUCUAAGUAUAAGCAUCUAUACAGUGAAACUGCGAUGGCUCAUAAAUCAGUUAUCGUUUAUUUGAUAGUACCUUACUACUUGGAUAACCCGUGGUAAUUCUAGAGCUAAUACAUGCUAAAAACCUCGACUUCGGAAGGGGUGUAUUUAUUAGAUAAAAAACCAAUGCCCUCGGGGCUCCUUGGUGAUUCAUAAUAACUUAACGAAUCGCAUGGCCUUGUGCCGGCGAUGGUUCAUUCAAAUUUCUGCCCUAUCAACUUUCGAUGGUUAGGUAGUGGCUAACCAUGGUUUCAACGGGUAACGGGGAAUUAGGGUUCUAUUCCGGAGAGGGAGCCUGAGAAACGGCUGCCACAUCCAAGGAAGGCAGCAGGCGCGCAAAUUACCCAAUCCCGACACGAGGAGGUAGUGACAAUAAAUACUGAUACAGGGCUCUUUUGGGUCUUGUAAUUGGAAUGAGUACAAUUUAAAUCCCUUAACGAGGAACAAUUGGAGGGCAAGUCUGGUGCCAGCAGCCGCGGUAAUUCCAGCUCCAAUAGCGUAUAUUAAAGUUGUUGCAGUUAAAAAGCUCGUAGUUGAACCUUGGGCCUGGUUGGUCGGUCCGCCUCACCGCGUGCACUGAUCCGACCGGGUCUUUCCUCCUGGGGAGCCGCAUGCCCUUCACUGGGUGUGUCGGGGAACCAGGACUUUUACUUUGAAAAAAUUAGAGUGUUCAAAGCAGGCCUAUGCUCGAAUACAUUAGCAUGGAAUAAUAGAAUAGGACGUGUGGUUCUAUUUUGUUGGUUUCUAGGACCGCCGUAAUGAUUAAUAGGGAUAGUCGGGGGCAUCAGUAUUCAAUUGUCAGAGGUGAAAUUCUUGGAUUAAUUGAAGACUAACUACUGCGAAAGCAUUUGCCAAGGAUGUUUUCAUUAAUCAGUGAACGAAAGUUAGGGGAUCGAAGACGAUCAGAUACCGUCGUAGUCUUAACCAUAAACUAUGCCGACUAGGGAUCGGGCGAUGUUAUCUUUUUGACUCGCUCGGCACCUUACGAGAAAUCAAAGUCUUUGGCUCUGGGGGAGA